This is an RNA transcript of Vanessa tameamea, 828 nucleotides long. It is a transcript of the gene named tol-Pal system protein TolA-like, with no coding region annotated. Lineage: Eukaryota; Metazoa; Arthropoda; Insecta; Lepidoptera; Nymphalidae. The transcript is spliced from 2 exons. The record is from RefSeq and is a predicted model, not a curated record.
ACAUUUUUCAAUCUUUUUUAUCUUUUCAUCGUUUUAAUAGAAGCGCUGUAGGUCCGAUCACUUACGUCAAAUAUGACAGAUUUCAACUUCACAUGCGUAAAUAUUUUUUGUACAUAACUCAACGAUUUGAGACACAACAAUAGUAAAAAGCAAUAAUGGCGAGAGUUACAAGAAUAGCGUUAGAUUUGGCAUUAGUUUCUCUGAGAACAGUUCGACCAUUUGUCACAAAAUUAUGGGUCUAUGGAAAAAACUUAAUUCAAAAUACAUCAGCAAAAUCCUUAGUUUCUAAUUCUAUUGUGGAAAAGACAGAAGCAGUAUUAGAUAAAUGUACUAAUAAGUUGAUUUCAUCAAUGACCGCGCUUCGGGAUCGUCAACUACCCAAAGAAAAAGAUUAUCUUGAGAAAGAAUUAGAAAAAAUUAAAGAGAGAAUAUCAAAAACGAAAAAUUAAUAUUUAAUAUUUUGUCCAUGUUGAUUAAACUAAAAAGUCUAGAAAGGAAGAAAGCUUUUACUUAUAAACUUGCUUUAAAUAUAUUUUUUACUUUUUUUUAGAAGCAAGUAAAACUUUGAAACCAGCUUUAGGAAAUGCAUGGCAAUAUGCAAAAACAGAACUUGUACCACCAUUGACAUUAAAUUUCUUUCAUGGACCUAAGGGAAAAUAUUUGGAAGAAAGAGUUUCAAAAGCAGCUGAUAAUUUUAUUGCUGGAAUAAAAAAUAGAAUAGAUGACAUAGAAGCAGAAAAAUUGAGGGAAAUAAAACGAAAAGAAGCUGCUGCAAAAGCAUUAGCAGAAAAGAAAAAAGCAGAAGCUAAAAAGAAAGCUGAAGAAGCU